GCCACCCGCCCUGCCCGCAGCCCCCGCCGCGCGCUCGCGGCCUCCCGCACCGCUCCCUCUCAACCUUCACCAGUGUUUAGUCAGCGAGAGAGAUUUUCUUGUCCACCCCGAAGGAAAAAAGCUUGGCGAGGCAGAAGAGGAGAAGGUGAGGUGUGGAGUACCAGAUGUCGUAUUUUAAUGAUUUUAUGUAGCUUUUUUU
Calypte anna (Anna's hummingbird) is the source of this 199-nucleotide long non-coding RNA. RefSeq lists it as uncharacterized. NCBI's taxonomy places the organism in Eukaryota, Metazoa, Chordata, Aves, Apodiformes, Trochilidae. The record is from RefSeq and is a predicted model, not a curated record. The transcript has 3 exons.